RNAcentral lists this ribosomal RNA (253 nucleotides) under uncultured bacterium. RNAcentral describes it as "partial 16S ribosomal RNA". It matches the Rfam family "Bacterial small subunit ribosomal RNA", at positions 524 to 776 of the family's 1533-position model. The record is from RNAcentral.
GACAUAGGUGGCAAACGUUAUCCGGAAUUACUGGGCGUAAAGCGCGUGUAGGCUGUUCGGGAAGUCGGAUGUGAAAGCCCUGGGCUCAACCUAGGAAGUGCAUUCGAAACUCCCGAACUGGAGUCCCGGAGAGGAAGGCGGAAUUCUCGGUGUAGAGGUGAAAUUCGUAGAUAUCGGGAGGAACACCGGUGGCGAAGGCGGCGACCUGGGUAGAUACUGACGCUGAGGUGCGAAAGCGUGGGGAGCAAACAGG